RNAcentral lists this transfer-messenger RNA (343 nucleotides) under Polyangiaceae. Its description in RNAcentral is "NIC37A-2 sp022447485 Standard tmRNA". It matches the Rfam family "transfer-messenger RNA". From Rfam's summary of the family: Bacterial tmRNA, also known as 10Sa RNA or SsrA, is named for its dual tRNA and mRNA-like properties. RNAcentral also lists the same sequence under 1 other name. The record is from RNAcentral. Lineage: Bacteria; Pseudomonadati; Myxococcota; Polyangiales.
GGGGGUGAAGGGCUUUCGACGUGGAGAGUGAAGUAUUACUUGCGUGUCGUCGUGUCUGGCCGACGUAAAUGCCGGGUCGUAACAAUUGCAAACGAUAACGCAAUCGCUCUAGCAGCAUAAACUGUUAGGCUGUCCGACCGCGAGAUUGUCUUGGUAGCGGAAGGGCAUCAUCACUAAGGCUGGAUCUAGUGAGGAGGCUUUCGAUAGCUAGGUUGAGAUCAGCGAAAGAUAGGCGUCGGCCGAAUCCGACAACCCAGUUAUUGGGGACACAAUAACUACACACGUGAAUGAGGGUGAUAGGGAUCCUUCGCGGACCCGAGUUCGAUUCUCGGCGCCUCCAAAA